Long non-coding RNA from Ostrea edulis (European flat oyster), 1555 nucleotides. RefSeq lists it as uncharacterized. The record is from RefSeq and is a predicted model, not a curated record. NCBI's taxonomy places the organism in Eukaryota, Metazoa, Mollusca, Bivalvia, Ostreida, Ostreidae. The transcript has 8 exons.
GUCAUAGAAGUGACCAUUGUAAUAUUAUCUGAAUUAUCUGUGUACAACUUAAUGAUUGUGUAUAUAAGAAUCAUGGGUACGACUUGUUGAGUUACAGUUUACUAGAUAAACGUUUGAAAGUUGCAUGUCUCGUCUCUUGUUUCUAUACAAGAAUAUUACAACCAUAUAUUCAGCAAAGUUCAUUCGUUGUCACCAUUUUAAUUAUUUCAUGCUUUUAGUUGACACUUACAUGGAAGGAGUACAGUGAGUUUGUGUUGCUGACAGUAAGAACGACUCUGACACCCACCCCGAGUACAUAAUGUGUACAGGGGGUUAUAGCAGGGACUUGUAUGCAUGGGCAGAAGAAAUGUUCUUAACUGACUAUCCCAUCAUUGCCAGCUGUUGGAGACUGAACAAUUUACUGAAAUCAGUGCUGGGGUGUAGCAAUCAGUGGGUGUCCUCAUUUGCCCCAAGAAGAGUCAGAGAACUCCCUGGGCCUCAUGAGAUUGUGACACCGUGCAGUAGGAGUUAAAAGCAGACAGAGAUUUUCUUAGCAUCUGAUCCAUUUCCGGAGACAAACUUUUGUAUGGAGCUGCUCCCUGGGCCUCAUGAGAUUGUGACACCGUGCAGUAGGAGCAGUUCCUACCGGUAUCUCUUAAAAGCAGACAGAAAUUUUCUGAUCAUCUGAUCCAUUUCUGGAGACAAACAUUUGUAUGGAACUGGGUAGCAGUUACUUGAGAUGUCUGGCUGAUGGAUGAAGAUAAUUUCCCCGAGACUCUAACAUUUUGUAGGACUUGGAUAGCUCUAUUGCUGUAGAAAAUGUCAGGACGGUGGAGAUUUAGAUAAGUGGUGUGAUGUUAUUGAUGGUAAACAGAAGACUGUGACCUUGAAUCUGAAGAUCUGUGAUGAAGACCGGACGUUUGGGGUCACUCUCUGUUACAGUACUACAAAUCUAACAGUGUCAUGCUCAGCCACAAAGAGGUUGUCUCUGAUGUCCACACAUAAACCCCGUGGACGUUCUAAAUCACAGUGAAUGUAACGGAGGAACUGUCCGUCCUGAUCUAGGAUGUGGAUACGGUAAUUGUUAAAGUCUGCUGUCAGGAUGUGACUCUGGCUGUCUGUAGUGAUGCCGCGUGGAUUAAAUGAUUGCUCGGUAUUAGAGGGAUGACCAGUGUAUCUAAAUCGGAGUUUUCCUGACUGAUUGACCACCACUACUGCUCUAGCUGACCGGUCAGCCACACAGAUAUCCAGGUUCCUGUUCUCACUGAGGUAUUUAUAGAUAUAACCAGAUGAGUAGAGAGUGUAAUAACCAGAUGAGUAGAGAGGACGACCCUGAUCAUCAAACUGAAUGCUUUGUUUCUCUGUGGAGCCGGAGUAACGCACGACUUUGGAUUGUUUCCAAUCAUCACUGACCAUGAUAACCAGGAGAUCGUUACCCGCGGUACAGCAGACAGAGCGAGGACUCCACCCCUGUAGUGUGAUCACGAAUGAGUUGAGUGGAAUAAUGAACUUCCAGAUGUCUAUGUACACGUGUAUGAAUAAACUGUUGUACUCGCGCGUGCGAGCUUAUCCUAUA